This 391-nucleotide ribosomal RNA is filed under the name uncultured bacterium. Its description in RNAcentral is "bacterial SSU rRNA". It matches the Rfam family "Bacterial small subunit ribosomal RNA", at positions 30 to 428 of the family's 1533-position model. The record is from RNAcentral.
AUUGAACGCUGGCGGCAUGCCUUACACAUGCAAGUCGAACGGCAGCACGGGAGCAAUCCUGGUGGCGAGUGGCGAACGGGUGAGUAAUAUAUCGGAACGUGCCCAGUCGUGGGGAUAACGUAGCGAAAGCUACGCUAAUACCGCAUACGAUCUAUGGAUGAAAGCGGGGGAUCGCAAGACCUCGCGCGAUUGGAGCGGCCGAUAUCAGAUUAGGUAGUUGGUGAGGUAAAGGCUCGCCAAGCCGACGAUCUGUAGCUGGUCUGAGAGGACGACCAGCCACACUGGGACUGAGACACGGCCCAGACUCCUACGGAGGCAGCAGUGGGGAAUUUUGGACAAUGGCGCAAGCCUGAUCCAGCAAUGCCGCGUGCAGGAUGAAGGCCUGGUGUAA